Molecule: microRNA precursor, 69 nt
Filed under: Paramuricea clavata
Lineage: Eukaryota; Metazoa; Cnidaria; Anthozoa; Malacalcyonacea; Plexauridae
Source: RNAcentral
UUUGUAUUACGUGCGGAAAUUGUUACCAUUUUUGAGCCGAAAAUGGUAACAAUUUCGCACGAAUACAAA